GAUGAACGCUAGCGGCAGGCUUAACACAUGCAAGUCGAGGGGCAGCAGGUCUUCGGAUGCUGGCGACCGGCGCACGGGUGCGUAACGCGUAUGCAACCUACCCUAUACAGGGGGAUAGCCCGAGGAAACUCGGAUUAAUACCCCAUAGAUUAUAUAUACCGCAUGGUAUUGUAUAAUAAAAUUACGAUGGUAUAGGAUGGGCAUGCGUGACAUUAGGUAGUUGGAGAGGUAACGGCUCACCAAGCCUACGAUGUCUAGGGGUCCUGAGAGGGUUACCCCCCACACUGGUACGUGAGACACGGACCGAGACUCCUACGGGAGGGCAGCAGUGAGGAAUAUUGGUCGAAUGGGC
RNAcentral lists this ribosomal RNA (352 nucleotides) under uncultured bacterium. RNAcentral describes it as "bacterial SSU rRNA". It matches the Rfam family "Bacterial small subunit ribosomal RNA", at positions 28 to 376 of the family's 1533-position model. The record is from RNAcentral.